Molecule: unclassified non-coding RNA, 193 nt
Filed under: Glomus sp.
Lineage: Eukaryota; Fungi; Glomeromycota; Glomeromycetes; Glomerales; Glomeraceae
Description: partial contains 5.8S ribosomal RNA and internal transcribed spacer 2
Rfam family: 5.8S ribosomal RNA (bases 1-65)
Source: RNAcentral
GUGAAUCAUCGAAUUUUUGAACGCAAAUUGCACUCUCUUCGGAGAGUAUGCCUGUUUGAGGGUCAGCCUCAAAAAAAUCGACAUAGUUGCUGUUUCGCGGUGACAUUCGUCGGAAAUUGGGUCAUCUCAAACCUUUGGGUUUUACGCGGCUUACAAUUUUCUUUACGAUUCCACGAACCUUUUUAAAAUUUUA